UUAGAUGAGGGUAAUUUGGUU
RNAcentral lists this non-coding RNA (21 nucleotides) under Arabidopsis thaliana (thale cress). The record is from RNAcentral. Lineage: Eukaryota; Viridiplantae; Streptophyta; Magnoliopsida; Brassicales; Brassicaceae.